AUAUUAUAAUAGCAAAGUUGUUUUAACAACUAUAGCGAUAAAUGCUUUAUGUAAUAUGUUGUGCGGACCCGGGGGCGGUACCCGGCACCUCCACCAAAAGUUAUGGGGGUGAAAUAGGUUUGACGUUGACUUAAAGAUAAAGACUUUGCUCGGCAUUGUACCGCCGUUAUCGGGCUAUUUUAUAAACGCUAACGAUAAUAGAUUAGCACUUGCUGCCUAGAUUCUAGGUAAGCGCGGUUUGGGGCACCGAGCAACAGAACGCCCCAUU
RNAcentral lists this transfer-messenger RNA (268 nucleotides) under Alphaproteobacteria bacterium MarineAlpha5_Bin4. RNAcentral's name for it is "transfer-messenger RNA, SsrA". It matches the Rfam family "Alphaproteobacteria transfer-messenger RNA". From Rfam's summary of the family: Bacterial tmRNA, also known as 10Sa RNA or SsrA, is named for its dual tRNA and mRNA-like properties. Lineage: Bacteria; Pseudomonadati; Pseudomonadota; Alphaproteobacteria. The record is from RNAcentral.